AGAGUUUGAUCCUGGCUCAGAUUGAACUCUGGCGGCAGGCCUAACACAUGCAAGUCGAACGGUAACAGGAAGAAGCUUGCUUCUUUGCUGACGAGUGGCGGACGGGUGAGUAAUGUCUGGGAAACUGCCUGAUGGAGGGGGAUAACUACUGGAAACGGUAGCUAAUACCGCAUAACGUCGCAAGACCAAAGAGGGGGACCUUCGGGCCUCUUGCCAUCGGAUGUGCCCAGAUGGGAUUAGCUAGUAGGUGGGGUAACGGCUCACCUAGGCGACGAUCCCUAGCUGGUCUGAGAGGAUGACCAGCCACACUGGAACUGAGACACGGUCCAGACUCCUACGGGAGGCAGCAGUGGGGAAUAUUGCACAAUGGGCGCAAGCCUGAUGCAGCCAUGCCGCGUGUAUGAAGAAGGCCUUCGGGUUGUAAAGUACUUUCAGCGGGGAGGAAGGGAGUAAAGUUAAUACCUUUGCUCAUUGACGUUACCCGCAGAAGAAGCACCGGCUAACUCCGUGCCAGCAGCCGCGGUAAUACGGAGGGUGCAAGCGUUAAUCGGAAUUACUGGGCGUAAAGCGCACGCAGGCGGUUUGUUAAGUCAGAUGUGAAAUCCCCGGGCUCAACCUGGGAACUGCAUCUGAUACUGGCAAGCUUGAGUCUCGUAGAGGGGGGUAGAAUUCCAGGUGUAGCGGUGAAAUGCGUAGAGAUCUGGAGGAAUACCGGUGGCGAAGGCGGCCCCCUGGACGAAGACUGACGCUCAGGUGCGAAAGCGUGGGGAGCAAACAGGAUUAGAUACCCUGGUAGUCCACGCCGUAAACGAUGUCGACUUGGAGGUUGUGCCCUUGAGGCGUGGCUUCCGGAGCUAACGCGUUAAGUCGACCGCCUGGGGAGUACGGCCGCAAGGUUGAAACUCAAAUGAAUUGACGGGGGCCCGCACAAGCGGUGGAGCAUGUGGUUUAAUUCGAUGCAACGCGAAGAACCUUACCUGGUCUUGACAUCCACGGAAGUUUUCAGAGAUGAGAAUGUGCCUUCGGGAACCGUGAGACAGGUGCUGCAUGGCUGUCGUCAGCUCGUGUUGUGAAAUGUUGGGUUAAGUCCCGCAACGAGCGCAACCCUUAUCCUUUGUUGCCAGCGGUCCGGCCGGGAACUCAAAGGAGACUGCCAGUGAUAAACUGGAGGAAGGUGGGGAUGACGUCAAGUCAUUAUGGCCCUUACGACCAGGGCUACACACGUGCUACAAUGGCGCAUACAAAGAGAAGCGACCUCGCGAGAGCAAGCGGACCUCAUAAAGUGCGUCGUAGUCCGGAUUGGAGUCUGCAACUCGACUCCAUGAAGUCGGAAUCGCUAGUAAUCGUGGAUCAGAAUGCCACGGUGAAUACGUUCCCGGGCCUUGCACUCACCGCCCGUCA
RNAcentral lists this ribosomal RNA (1401 nucleotides) under uncultured bacterium. RNAcentral's name for it is "bacterial SSU rRNA". It matches the Rfam family "Bacterial small subunit ribosomal RNA". The record is from RNAcentral.